ACGUUAGCGGCGGACGGGUGAGUAACACGUGGGUAACCUACCUAUAAGACUGGGAUAACUCCGGGAAACCGGGGCUAAUACCGGAUAACACAUGAAACCGCAUGGUUUCAUGAUGAAAGACGGUUUUGCUGUCACUUAUAGAUGGACCCGCGGCGUAUUAGCUAGUUGGUAAGGUAACGGCUUACCAAGGCAACGAUACGUAGCCGACCUGAGAGGGUGAUCGGCACACUGGAACUGAGACACGGUCCAGACUCCUACGGGAGGCAGCAGAA
Molecule: ribosomal RNA, 272 nt
Filed under: uncultured Staphylococcus sp.
Lineage: Bacteria; Bacillati; Bacillota; Bacilli; Caryophanales; Staphylococcaceae
Description: partial 16S ribosomal RNA
Rfam family: Bacterial small subunit ribosomal RNA
Source: RNAcentral